RNAcentral lists this long non-coding RNA (361 nucleotides) under Homo sapiens (human). RNAcentral describes it as "HSALNT0000953". The record is from RNAcentral. Lineage: Eukaryota; Metazoa; Chordata; Mammalia; Primates; Hominidae.
GCAGCUGUAAGCAACAAGGCUGAAGUCUCUGCUGCUCCACAACCUACCUGCCAGUUUGGUCACAGGUAUCUCCCAAGAUACACAAUCACCUGGAGUGGAAGCUUCAGGACAACAGGGCUGGGUAUGUUUGCCGAUCUGCACAUAGUCCAUGUAUUAGUGUGUUUUCAUGCUGGGAACCUGCGUGUUUCAGAUAAGAUACCUCUUGGAUACCUCUUGAUUCACUCUUCUUCCUGCCACUGUGGUGAGGAUCAUUGAGUCUUUGACCAGCUUUAUGCAGGUACAACCUGACAGCACCUGACUUCAGGGCUGAAAUGGAAGCAUCUAAAAUGGUGGCUUGAGCAGCCCUGGAGGACCACAGCAU